Molecule: long non-coding RNA, 241 nt
Filed under: Zea mays
Lineage: Eukaryota; Viridiplantae; Streptophyta; Magnoliopsida; Poales; Poaceae
Description: long non-coding RNA NONZMAT004171
Source: RNAcentral
UUGCUUUCCAAAGUUACCCUCCCACUUAUUCCCAAUAGCAAAAAUUGACUCAGACUCUACUAUUCUGAUGCCUGAUAAUACAUUUGCUGGGUUUCAGAGCAGAAUCUUCAGAAUACAGAAGCAACACGUAGAUAACAAUGAGAGAAUGAGUACACUUUAUCUUUAGCCAAACUAUCUACCCUUGUUAUGAGCAAGGUCCAGAACUAUACAAUAAAAGUUCUAGACAGCGUGAGAAGACCAC